GACGAACGCUGGCGGCGUGCUUAACACAUGCAAGUCGAACGGUAAGGCUCCAGCUUGCUGGGGUACACGAGUGGCGAACGGGUGAGUAACACGUGGGCGACCUGCCCUGCACUUCGGGAUAAGCCUGGGAAACUGGGUCUAAUACCGGAUAGGACCGCACCGUGAGGGUGUGGUGGAAAGUUUUUUCGGUGUGGGAUGGGCCCGCGGCCUAUCAGCUUGUUGGUGGGGUAAUGGCCUACCAAGGCGGCGACGGGUAGCCGGCCUGAGAGGGUGGACGGCCACAUUGGGACUGAGACACGGCCCAGACUCCUACGGGAGGCAGCAGUGGGGAAUAUUGCACAAUGGGCGGAAGCCUGAUGCAGCGACGCCGCGUGGGGGAUGACGGCCUUCGGGUUGUAAACUCCUUUCACCAUCGACGAAGGGUUUCUGACGGUAGAUGGAGAAGAAGCACCGGCUAACUACGUGCCAGCAGCCGCGGUAAUACGUAGGGUGCGAGCGUUGUCCGGAAUUGCUGGGCGUAAAGAGCUCGUAGGUGGUUUGUCGCGUCGUCUGUGAAAUUCCGGGGCUUAACUCCGGGCGUGCAGGCGAUACGGGCAUAACUUGAGUACUGUAGGGGAGACUGGAAUUCCUGGUGUAGCGGUGAAAUGCGCAGAUAUCAGGAGGAACACCGGUGGCGAAGGCGGGUCUCUGGGCAGUAACUGACGCUGAGGAGCGAAAGCAUGGGGAGCGAACAGGAUUAGAUACCCUGGUAGUCCAUGCCGUAAACGGUGGGCGCUAGGUGUGGGUUUCCUUCCACGGGAUCCGUGCCGUAGCUAACGCAUUAAGCGCCCCGCCUGGGGAGUACGGCCGCAAGGCUAAAACUCAAAGGAAUUGACGGGGGCCCGCACAAGCGGCGGAGCAUGUGGAUUAAUUCGAUGCAACGCGAAGAACCUUACCUGGGCUUGACAUAUACAGGAUCGCGCCAGAGAUGGUGUUUCCCUUGUGGCUUGUAUACAGGUGGUGCAUGGUUGUCGUCAGCUCGUGUCGUGAGAUGUUGGGUUAAGUCCCGCAACGAGCGCAACCCUUGUCUUAUGUUGCCAGCACGUUGUGGUGGGGACUCGUAAGAAACUGCCGGGGUUAACUCGGAGGAAGGUGGGGAUGACGUCAAAUCAUCAUGCCCCUUAUGUCCAGGGCUUCACACACGCUACAAUGGUCGGUACAGUGGGUUGCCAGUCCGUGAGGGCGAGCUAAUCCCGCAAAGCCGGUCUCAGUUCGGAUCGGGGUCUGCAACUCGACCCCGUGAAGUCGGAGUCGCUAGUAAUCGCAGAUCAGCAACGCUGCGGUGAAUACGUUCCCGGGCCU
This 1341-nucleotide ribosomal RNA is filed under the name uncultured bacterium. RNAcentral's name for it is "partial 16S ribosomal RNA". It matches the Rfam family "Bacterial small subunit ribosomal RNA", at positions 28 to 1381 of the family's 1533-position model. The record is from RNAcentral.